UGUCACCAGCCCCACUCUGAUGUGGCCGUGACAUCAGUGGGGUUGGUGCCAGCGGCACAGUGUGGGAAGGGACUGGGAGUUGACCUUCCUCAGCAUGUGGCCAUGGAGUCCAGGGAUCUCUCCUGUCGAAUGUUGUCGUGUCAUGGGCUCGUGUCUGUGUCCAGCGGUGAGGCUAGGAGAGAAGCAAGUAGAGAAGCAACAAGGGAACGGCCAUGUCAAAUACCAGGCCUCUCCUGGGCCCACCCUGUCACCAGCCCCACUCUGAUGUGGCCUGACAUCAGUGGGGCUGGUGCCAGUUGCACAAUAUGGGAAGAUUGGGAGUUGACCUUYCUCAGCAWGUGGCCAUGGAGUCCAGGGAUCUCUCCUGUAGAAUUUUGUCGUGUCAGGGGUUCGUGUCUGUGUCCAGCGGUGAGGCUAGGAGAGAAGUACAGGCAACAAGAGAAGCGCCAUGUCUACUACCAGGCCUCUCCUGGGCCCCCCCUGUCACCAGCCCCACUCUGAUGUGGCCUGACAUCAGUGGGGCUGGUGCCAGUGGCACAAUACGGGAAGAUUGGGAGUUGACCUUCCUCAGCAAGUGGCCAUGGAGUCCAGGGAUCUCUCCUGUCGAAUGUUGUCGUGUCCUGGGCCCGUGUCCAGCGCUGAGGCUAGGAGUGAAGCAAAUUCGGGCAACAAGACAUCAGUGGGGUUGGUGCCAGCGGCACAAUAUAGGAAGGGGCUGGGUGUUGACCUUCCUUAUCAUGUGGCCGUGGAGACCAGGGAUCUCUCCUGUCGAAUGUUGUCGUGUCAGGGGCUUGUGUCCAGCGGUGAGGCUAGGAGAGAAGCAAGUAGAGAAACAACAAGAGAACGGCCAUGUCUACUACCAGGCCUCUCCUGGGCCCACCCUGUCACCAGCCCCACUCUGAUGUGGCCUGACAUCAGUGGGGCUGGUGCCAGUGGCACAAUAUGGGAAGAUUGGGAGUUGACCUUCCUCAGCAUGUGGCCAUGGAGUCCAGGGAUCUCUCCUGUAGAAUGUUGUGUCCUGGGCUCGUGUCCAGCGGUGAGGCUAGGAGAGAAGCAAAUAUGGGCAACAAGACAUCAAUGGGGUUGGUGCCAGCGGCACAAUAUGGGAAGGGGCUGGGAGUUGACCUUCCUUAGCAAGUGGCCAUGGAGUCCAAGGAUCUCUCCUGUAGAAGCUGAGACUUCCAGCGGAGUGCUGGAAGAAGGCUGUAGCCAUGGUCUUGCUCUGUCCUUUUCCAGGAUUCUCUCUGCAAUAAUAAAUAAUAAAAAAAAAAAACAGCUGGAGGGGAGCGG
Molecule: long non-coding RNA, 1290 nt
Filed under: Anas platyrhynchos platyrhynchos (common mallard)
Lineage: Eukaryota; Metazoa; Chordata; Aves; Anseriformes; Anatidae
Description: lncRNA (ENSAPLG00000029743.1)
Source: RNAcentral